UACGGAGGGAGCAAGCGUUACUCGGAAUUAUUGGGCGUAAAGGGCGCGUAGGCGAUUUAACAAGUCUUGUGUGAAAGCCCCGGGCUUAACUCGGGAAGUGCACAAGAAACUGUUGAAUUUGAGUUCCGGAGAGGAAGGCAGAAUUCCCGGUGUAGCGGUGAAAUGCGCAGAUAUCGGGAGGAACACCAAUGGCGAAGGUGGCAUCCUGGACCAUUACUGACGCUGAGGCGCGAAAGCUAGGGGAGCAAACGGG
This 253-nucleotide ribosomal RNA is filed under the name uncultured bacterium. Its description in RNAcentral is "partial 16S ribosomal RNA". It matches the Rfam family "Bacterial small subunit ribosomal RNA", at positions 524 to 776 of the family's 1533-position model. The record is from RNAcentral.